UGNGUNGAGUUGUUUGGGAAUGCUGCUCAAAAUGGGAGGUAAACCCCUUCUAAAGCUAAAUACCGGCCAGAGACCGAUAGCGCACAAGUAGAGUGAUCGAAAGAUGAAAAGCACUUUGAAAAGAGAGUUAAACAGCACGUGAAAUUGUUGAAAGGGAAGCGCUUGCGACCAGACUUGCGCCCGUCGGAUCAACCGUCCCUCGUGGGCGGCGCACUCCGGCGGGCUCAGGCCAGCAUCAGUUUUCCUGGGGGGAGAAAGGCGGUGGGAAUGUAGCUCUUCGGAGUGUUAUAGCCUGCCGCAUAAUGCCCCCGGGGGGACUGAGGACCGCGCGAAAGCAAGGAUGCUGGCGUAAUGGUUGUCAGCGACCCGUCUUGAAACACGGA
This 383-nucleotide ribosomal RNA is filed under the name Pseudowardomyces humicola. Its description in RNAcentral is "LSU rRNA". It matches the Rfam family "Eukaryotic large subunit ribosomal RNA", at positions 259 to 665 of the family's 3401-position model. The record is from RNAcentral. Lineage: Eukaryota; Fungi; Ascomycota; Sordariomycetes; Microascales; Microascaceae.